Molecule: ribosomal RNA, 664 nt
Filed under: Sarcocystis sp.
Lineage: Eukaryota; Apicomplexa; Conoidasida; Eucoccidiorida; Sarcocystidae
Description: SSU rRNA
Rfam family: Eukaryotic small subunit ribosomal RNA
Source: RNAcentral
CUCAGGGAGGUAGUGACAAGAAAUAACAACACUGGAAAUUUUAUUUCUAGUGAUUGGAAUGAUGGGAAUUUAAACCCCUUUCAGAGUAACAAUUGGAGGGCAAGUCUGGUGCCAGCAGCCGCGGUAAUUCCAGCUCCAAUAGCGUAUAUUAAAGUUGUUGCAGUUAAAAAGCUCGUAGUUGGAUGUCUGCUGGAAGCAAUCAGUCCGCCCUAUUUGUAGGGUGUGCACUUGAUGAAUUCUGGCAUCUAUGUCCCAAUGUGAUAUACGCGAUGGUGUUAUUAAUAUAUAGGUUAAUCCUGUAUAUUAUAUACCCAUUUGUGUAAUAUUGGGAUAAUACCGUUACUUUGAGAAAAUUAGAGUGUUUGAAGCAGGCUAAUUGCCUUGAAUACUGCAGCAUGGAAUAACAAUAUAGGAUUUCGGUUCUAUUUUGUUGGUUUCUAGGACCGAAAUAAUGAUUAAUAGGGACAGUUGGGGGCAUUCGUAUUUAACUGUCAGAGGUGAAAUUCUUAGAUUUGUUAAAGACGAACUACUGCGAAAGCAUUUGCCAAAGAUGUUUUCAUUAAUCAAGAACGAAAGUUAGGGGCUCGAAGACGAUCAGAUACCGUCGUAGUCUUAACCAUAAACUACGCCGACUAGAGAUAGGAAACUGUCAUUUUUCUGACUU